Molecule: ribosomal RNA, 238 nt
Filed under: Staphylococcus sp. HMSC072E01
Lineage: Bacteria; Bacillati; Bacillota; Bacilli; Caryophanales; Staphylococcaceae
Description: partial 23S ribosomal RNA
Rfam family: Bacterial large subunit ribosomal RNA
Source: RNAcentral
AUGCAGGUUACCCGCGACAGGACGGAAAGACCCCAUGGAGCUUUACUGUAGUUUGAUAUUGAGUGUUUGUACCACAUGUACAGGAUAGGUAGGAGCCGAUGAGACCGGAACGCUAGUUUCGGAGGAGGCGCUGGUGGGAUACUACCCUUGUGUUAUGAACCCUCUAACCCGCACCACUAAUCGUGGUGGGAGACAGUGUCAGAUGGGCAGUUUGACUGGGGCGGUCGCCUCCUAAAAG